GUCAUGGGGUCCGCAGAUCCUGCUCUGUGCUGAUGUCACCAGUUUUGGGGGGGGGCUGUCCAGGCCCACGGCUGCCCCAGAACUGACACCAGGAGCCCUACUCAGCCUGGGACGGGCACAGCACUGCGGCUGCCAGUCUUCCUGUCAAGGACGCGGGGACAGGCGGUUCUCCAGGGGACUUGCCUGCACCCUCCAGGCACAGCCAACUGGCCAGCGGAGUCCCUGCGGUUCCUGCAGGAAAAGGUCAUGAGAGCAAACGGAGGGCCUGGGUUUCAACUGGGGGUGUCCACCCCGGCAAGGCGACGAUACCCAGGAUCCUGAAGGCAGGGAGGACCAGGUGACGCCGGGAUCCUGGGGCUCCAGGGCCAGACCCUGACCCACCGCACUGCCCACUGGCCGUUUCUUGCUUUCUACCCAAUGCGGAGUCAGCAAUUUCUCUGCUGUUCUCAUUCACUGCAAAUCUGAUUAAGGAUCAGAACCCGUCUUUCUGCAUGUGAUCUUGAGCCUCGCAAAUGGAAGAUACUUAGCAAUCAUCUGGUGCAAGCCCCAGGCUCAGAGCUGAGGACAGGGAGGCCCAGAGAUUACCGACUUGCCCAAGGACACCGGAGGCUCAAGGCAGACCUGGGAGCCCCCGGGAGAUGUCUGGACCUGGCACGAGGGACAAGGAUGGAAUCGUCAGCCCUGGACCCAUGGGGCGCCCCAACUCAGGUGAAACAGGACAAGGUUCCCGAAGGCCAACCGUGGCUGCUCUCCCAAGGCCUUCCUUCCAGGCUAGUGGAGAAACACAGCUCCAGCGAAGAAGUCCGGAAAAAGGCUGAUUGGAUGCAUAAGCCACAGGACAACUUUAGGAACUAGAAAAUAAAUAGAACUUAAGACUACGUUUGGUUAAAAUG
This 893-nucleotide long non-coding RNA is filed under the name Felis catus (domestic cat). Its description in RNAcentral is "lncRNA (ENSFCAG00000047633.1)". The record is from RNAcentral. Lineage: Eukaryota; Metazoa; Chordata; Mammalia; Carnivora; Felidae.